GUGAAUCAUCGAAUCUUUGAACGCAUCUUGCGCCCUUUGGUAUUCCGAAGGGCAUGCCUGUUUGAGUGUCAUUAAAUUCUCAACUUCAAAACUUGUUUUUGAUAGCUUGGAUGUUGGAGGCUUGCAGGCGAUUUUUCUAUUGUCAGCUCCUCUCAAAUGCAUUAGCAGGACUUUAAAAAGGAUCGGCUUUGGUUUGAUAAUCCUAUCUAUGCCAUCGCUGAUACAUUGUAGUUCGGCUUAUAAUCGUCCUUUGGACUGUCUCGCAAGAGGCAUUAUUUAAACUUGACCUCAAAUCAGGUAGGACUACCCGCUGAACUUAAGCAUAUCAAUAAGCGGAGGA
RNAcentral lists this unclassified non-coding RNA (340 nucleotides) under Agaricales sp. Its description in RNAcentral is "partial contains 5.8S ribosomal RNA, internal transcribed spacer 2, and large subunit ribosomal RNA". The stretch from base 1 to 71 matches the Rfam family "5.8S ribosomal RNA", at positions 84 to 154 of the family's 154-position model. Lineage: Eukaryota; Fungi; Basidiomycota; Agaricomycetes; Agaricales. The record is from RNAcentral.